CUGACUUUCACCACCAUGGAACGCUAGGACACUCAGCAAAGAUCCAACAGCCAGCCCCGUCCCUGUGUGGGGCAGAGAAGGGAUAGGACCUUGAAGCUCACUGGGAAGGUUAUAAAACUCAGUGGGAGGAUGACAAACAGCCAGAAGACUUCCCAUCUGUGGAAGGGGAACUCGAUGGGUCAUCUCUGGAAGUUCCCAUGGCAUCUGCACCACAGAGGGAGGAAGGGCAGUCCCUCUGGUAAUUAGAUUUUAGGCUAUUCACAUCUUCAAGCAAAAACCUUAAUUUUCAUUUCAUACAUUGAUAAGGUACACCAUAAACCUCAGGAACUGAUGUCAUGCAAAACUCCAAACAAACAGACUGAAGACACAGAUGCUGCUGAAGGUAGGAAUGUGCUCAACUUUAAGAUUAGGUUCAUUUUGGGGUGUCAGGGCAUGUGAGAACAGCAACAAACUACCUGCAAUGAAGGUGUCUGAUGCUUUAAAACAGUAUUAUUUCUAAUAUCAUUUUGUGAGCAUUUUUCAGAGAAACAAUUCUUUUCUUAGCAAACUGCUUCUUGGUGAGUUUUUACAGAUAUGGAAGGAAGGCCACUGGACCACGUCCCACCACCCUCUGGGAUGGUACAGAAUGAGAAGUAUUGUGCCUGAAGGCCCGGGGUAAGGGAAGGCUUUAUAAUCUCUUCCCUCUAUUGUUAACUCACAGCAUCAGAGAGCUUCUCACCAACUGCUGCACACUGCAAGAGCUCUUAGUGCAGCUGAGCACUGGUGACUCCUGGAUCCCUUCCCAGAAAACUCUUCCUCCAGAAAAACAAGUUCUUCAGAUUAAAGAGAAAUAUUUAGAUAAACAGCAGGACCCAAGAUAUAAAAAGCUGGCCUGGCCAAGAGGAGGCUAGAGGUCCCAUUUCAGGCAAAGCAACUGCAAAUACUGAACAGGCAUAUUUGUUCAGGAUGUAUCCACUGCCCAACAGCUCACACUUGAAAGAAAAUUGAUGCCAGUGGACGUAAGCUGGAAGACCAGUGGACCCAUCAGAAGGCCCCCCAGAGCUGCCAGCAGGAAAAAAGGAUUUCCAACACCUUCAGAAGUGUGUCAGAGAAUAAGAACAGAAAUAUAUCCAAGGCUUCCAACAGCAGAUUUCAAAUGAACAAUCCCAGUCCACUUUCCAUGUGAUUGAUCGUGAAUUUUCCUCUCCUUUUAC
This 1193-nucleotide long non-coding RNA is filed under the name Cyanistes caeruleus (blue tit). RNAcentral describes it as "lncRNA (ENSCCEG00000001257.1)". Lineage: Eukaryota; Metazoa; Chordata; Aves; Passeriformes; Paridae. The record is from RNAcentral.